GAUUGAACGCUGGCGGCAGGCCUAACACAUGCAAGUCGAACGGUAACAGGAAGAAGCUUGCUUCUUUGCUGACGAGUGGCGGACGGGUGAGUAAUGUCUGGGAAACUGCCUGAUGGAGGGGGAUAACUACUGGAAACGGUAGCUAAUACCGCAUAACGUCGCAAGACCAAAAAGGGGGACCUUCGGGCCUCUUGCCAUCGGAUGUGCCCAGAUGGGAUUAGCUAGUAGGUGGGGUAACGGCUCACCUAGGCGACGAUCCCUAGCUGGUCUGAGAGGAUGACCAGCCACACUGGAACUGAGACACGGUCCAGACUCCUACGGGAGGCAGCAGUGGGGAAUAUUACACAAUGGGCGCAAGCCUGAUGCAGCCAUGCCGCGUGUAUGAAGAAGGCCUUCGGGUUGUAAAGUACUUUCAGCGGGGAGGAAGGGAGUAAAGUUAAUACCUUUGCUCAUUGACGUUACCCGCAGAAGAAGCACCGGCUAACUCCGUG
This 491-nucleotide ribosomal RNA is filed under the name uncultured bacterium. RNAcentral describes it as "partial 16S ribosomal RNA". It matches the Rfam family "Bacterial small subunit ribosomal RNA", at positions 27 to 507 of the family's 1533-position model. The record is from RNAcentral.